RNAcentral lists this ribosomal RNA (253 nucleotides) under uncultured bacterium. Its description in RNAcentral is "partial 16S ribosomal RNA". It matches the Rfam family "Bacterial small subunit ribosomal RNA", at positions 524 to 776 of the family's 1533-position model. The record is from RNAcentral.
UACGUAGGGGGCUAGCGUUGUCCGGAAUCAUUGGGCGUAAAGCGCGUGUAGGCGGCCCGGUAAGUCCGCUGUAAAAGUCGGGGGCUCAACCCUCGAAAGCCGGUGGAUACUGUCGGGCUAGAGUACGGAAGAGGCGAGUGGAAUUCCUGGUGUAGCAGUGAAAUGCGCAGAUAUCAGGAGGAACACCGAUUGCGAAGGCAGCUCGCUGGGACGCCCCUGACGCUGAGACGCGAAAGCGUGGGGAGCAAACAGG